GCAAUUUCAUGAUGAUAAUAACACAAAGCUGGCACUAGCUUUGGCCCGAAAUUUCAAGGGCCCUAAAUUUUCGGUAAUUAGGGUUUUUUUAAUAAUCGAUGUUUUGUACAGAUGCAAAAGAAUGAUGCCAAUGGAUGAAGAAAUUGAGGAAUCACCAACCUUCCUCUCAAUUGGAUGAACUUAUUCCGGAUCCUCUAAGUUUCCAAUCGUUAUUGUCGUAUCAGCCCAUUUGUAGAUAAUGAUGGCGAUGAGAGACGGUUUCCUGCUCUUCUCAUCUGAACUUGGAAAUCUUCGGGUAUGUUUGUGAAAGGAUGAUAUCCUGCAAAAACUAAGGCCAGAGGACAUGCGACUCGAGAUCUUUCGGACAAUUUGGUCCUUUGAAGGGCAGUUACUCGCAGGUUUAGCUGCUUGCUCUGCCACCGUUCUGAGAUUUUCGUUGGUAGGCUUCCUAAGGAUGUGGUUGAGGGAGAUUUGAGUGAAUUUUGUGAACCUUUUCGGGAAGUUGUUGAGAGAUUAGCAAGGAACAUUAAUGGAUGGACCUAUCCCUUCUACAAUAUCUCUGUUGACAAAUCUAGAGGAGGUGAUGAUAACCUAUUUCACUGGACCAAGUUCAAGCUUUCAUGUACAAGGGUGUUGCAAAAAUGUACAUAUUCUAAUCAGUUUAAGUUUACACUUUCUUUUGAUGCUUAAAUGCUGAAGUCAUGUAUUUAGAAUUACCUUGAUGAUGCAUCUUUUGGAAAUUUUGUAUGUU
Molecule: long non-coding RNA, 751 nt
Filed under: Helianthus annuus (common sunflower)
Lineage: Eukaryota; Viridiplantae; Streptophyta; Magnoliopsida; Asterales; Asteraceae
Description: sRNA HanXRQr2_Chr04g0141901
Source: RNAcentral